This 496-nucleotide ribosomal RNA is filed under the name uncultured bacterium. RNAcentral's name for it is "partial 16S ribosomal RNA". It matches the Rfam family "Bacterial small subunit ribosomal RNA", at positions 29 to 507 of the family's 1533-position model. The record is from RNAcentral.
AUGAACGCUGGCGGCGUGCCUAAUACCUGCAAGUCGAGCGAACGGACGAGAAGCUUGCUUCUCUGAUGUUAGCGGCGGACGGGUGAGUAACACGUGGAUAACCUACCUAUAAGACUGGGAUAACUUCGGGAAACCGGAGCUAAUACCGGAUGAUAUUUUGAACCGCAUGGUUCAAAAGUGAAAGACGGUCUUGCUGUCACUUAUAGAUGGAUCCGCGCUGCAUUAGCUAGUUGGUAAGGUAACGGCUUACCAAGGCAACGAUGCAUAGCCGACCUGAGAGGGUGAUCGGCCACACUGGAACUGAGACACGGUCCAGACUCCUACGGGAGGCAGCAGUAGGGAAUCUUCCGCAAUGGGCGAAAGCCUGACGGAGCAACGCCGCGUGAGUGAUGUAGGUCUUCGGAUCGUAAAACUCUGUUAUUAGGGAAGAACAUAUGUGUAAGUAACUGUGCACAUCUUGACGGUACCUAAUCAGAAAGCCACGGCUAACUACGUG